CCUGGCUCGUGAACUGAUCUGCCAAGAAAAAAUCAGCAAAGACGACCUGCAGAGGAAGAAAAGUAUCCGAAAUUAGAGCUAAGUCGAAAGAGGGGAGCACAUAUGCAGCGGUACAGAGUUUUUAAGCAGAAGAAGCGACUCGAGCGAUAUAGGAUGUUGAAUGGACACAAGAAGACUGCAACCACAACCUGCAAGCAGGGGUCCAUCUCCAUGUCAAGGUUAGAAAGAACACAGGCUAAAGCAAGAGUCGCCACGGCAAAACUGGGAAGCAAAACGUCACGGUAUGCCAACUCAGUGCCUUGUUUGAAACCAAAAAUGAAUGAAUAAUUCACUUGGUAUCUCCUCCAAAAGUAUAUGUUUGCUGCAUACAUUAGCAGGUGCAAGACAACGAAUCCAAACAGGCUGCAUUAAACAAGCAGAAGAAUGAUUUGAUUUGAUUUGAUUUGAUUUGAUUUGAUUUGCAAUGUUUCUGUUUCUCUGUUUUAAGUUACCUGUAAAGAGGAAACAUGGUAUCCAUAUACUGGGAGCGGCCUUCUCGGUCGAGUAUAUGUCGUGCUCGUGUAAUGAAAAUGAGGGCGACGAUAAGAGCUAUGGUGCAGCCAGCAAAGAAACCUGAAAAUUUUGUUCUAAAAUUGAUCAGCCAAUGUUCAAAACAUGAAUGAAGAGUCUUGCAAAUGUGUCAAGAA
Long non-coding RNA from Cucurbita moschata (crookneck pumpkin), 686 nucleotides. RefSeq lists it as uncharacterized. The record is from RefSeq and is a predicted model, not a curated record. The transcript has 3 exons. Lineage: Eukaryota; Viridiplantae; Streptophyta; Magnoliopsida; Cucurbitales; Cucurbitaceae.